This 253-nucleotide ribosomal RNA is filed under the name uncultured bacterium. Its description in RNAcentral is "partial 16S ribosomal RNA". It matches the Rfam family "Bacterial small subunit ribosomal RNA", at positions 524 to 776 of the family's 1533-position model. The record is from RNAcentral.
UACAGAGGGGGCAAGCGUUGUUCGGAAUUACUGGGCGUAAAGGGCGCGUAGGUGGCCUUCUAAGUCGAACGUGAAAUCCCUGGGCUCAACCCAGGAACUGCGUCCGAGACUGGGGGGCUUGAAUCCGGGAGAGGGAUGCGGAAUUCCAGGUGUAGCGGUGAAAUGCGUAGAUAUCUGGAGGAACACCGGUGGCGAAGGCGGCGACCUGGACCGACACUGACGCUAAUACACGAAAGCGUGGGGAGCAAACAGG